CCCUGCUCUUAUGAACUGAUCGUGCCCAGGGUUUUCACGUCUCGUCUUCGUCUUUGUCUUCUACCUUCUCAUCAUCGACCGCGAGACGCAGAGAAUCGAGCCUGUUCAGUAUCCCUAACGCCUCCGAUUUCAAUAACUCUGCAACUAAACUCCGCUGAGCGGUAGAGAAGGCGAGAGCCACCACUGGAUCUCUCUCUCUCUCUCUCCCGUGCCGGAUCUCUCUCUCUCUCUCCCGUGCCUCGCUCUGUCACGUUUACAUCUCUCUCUCUCUCUCUCUGUGAGUUUUUAUUUCGAUUUGAAAGCUGGCUACUGUCACGAACACCGUCAAAGUCCGAUUGUUGAGGUUUUGGAAAGCUCAUGGGGUAGACAUGUCCUCUUCGACCAGAAGGUCUUCAAAACGAAUUGCAGUAUACUAGGAAAAUCUAUGUCACCGGCACGGAAGAGCACACAAAACCACCAUGAACGUGCUUACAAUAGCUGGAAUCAUAGGAAAAGAAGGCAUCGAGUGAAAAAGAUGAAUUUUAAUUGAGCAAGAGAUUCACAUGUUGCGAGAAAAAAGAUUUGCUCAAUGGAAAGAGAGGUAAGGAUGAUAAUUUCAGACCUAAGUUCAAUACCAGAAAGACCUGGCAGCUUACACGUGGAAUACACCAACUAAGCUUUGGUAUAAGGGGGUAUGGUUCUUGCACGCAACCCCUAAAUUCUCUCUUCUUUCUUGGAUUGCAAUCCAUGACAGGUUUUCCACAGGAGAUCAUAUAAGGAAGUGGAACUCUGGAGCAUCCACCACUUAUAUCCUUUAGAGACCCUGACCAUCUUUAUUUUCACUAAGUUUUUGGAGAAGGUAUGGGAAAAUCUUACUUUAAAGCUUUUUGGUUCAAGUACACAACAGUAGAAACGGAUAUUAGAUAUUCUGGUUGAAAUUAUUGGGAUCAAGUCAAUAAGUUUAUCAUUCAGUAUGUAUUCCAAGCAACAAUUCACUUAGUAUGACGGAAGAGGAACGUAAUGACUUCAAUUCCUGCAUCUUGUGUAAUACAAAACAUUGACAAAAUGGUCUGGUAAAAAAUUUCAUCUCUGCUAGGAUAAGAGGCAAUCAAUAUGUAGAAGCUAUGGAAAUUUGGUUUGCUUCAAGGUGACAAAUCUGAUCUUCAAAUAACUUUGGGAAAUUUGUUAACUAAUCAUUUGUCUCAACACACCUUUUCUAUUAUUUACCCUUUUUGUUCAUUUUACCCUUUACUAAAUUAUAAAAUAUUAUAAAUAAAUACAUUUCUGAACUUUUACAAUAAAAUAAAAAACAAAACAUUAAUAUUUGAUUGGUUAGAAUUUAUUUUCGAAGAAUUAAUUUUUUUUUAUAAAUUUUCUAAAACUAACUCUGCUUAAUCUAGAAGUCUCUGAUUUCUAUAGGAGAUGAAAAGACUUCCAACAAAGUCCCAUAGAAAAUAAAACUCUUAUCUAUUUUUGUUAUACAGGCCUGUAAGAGUGUAUUAGACAAGUAUUUGGGGGUAAACAUUACUUCGCCAACAACAAACAUAUGAAGGAUGUCUCAGGUGGUGUGUACUGCUCAAAUGUAAUAGGUAGGACAAGAGAGAGCAUGUUGCUAACGAAAUGGGAAAGGAUGAGAAAAGAGAAUUAUUUAAUUAGAUCUUUGUUUUGUUCGGCUGUGGAUAAGAUUCUCCUACUUUUGGAUUAUAGAUAUUGAGUGCAGGUUUUGAAAUUUUGAUAGCGAGUCUGGAGCGAAAGGUUUUGUUUCCUUUACUGAGAUCUCUACUUCAUCAAAGAUAUGCAUGCAGUCACUGUUUUGUCACACUGAGUUCUCACAUGUUGACAAUUCAUGCUGGUUCAGAUGAUAUGUUUCUGUACAGAUAUACAAAAAGUGUAAAAGAAACUGAGAUCAAAUGCCUGGAGCAAGGGCUGUAUUGGACUUUGAGUGUCUCGCAACGACUGAUUCAAUAAGUGGGUUCACCAUUUCUGGCUUCUCAUCCUGCAAAAUUUACAGAAAUGCAAUAAGAAGAAGAAUAGAGGGUUACUUCAUUGGAGAGAGGAGAGACCUGAGGAGCUGCAUCAAAAUUACCAUAAGCUCGUCCAAGCUUGAUUGGAUCCCAUGGAUCUUUUUCUCCCCAUGCAACUAGAACCGGGCACUGCAAAUAGUUAAAUGACAUGGUCAUGGUAAAGUAAAAACUUUAAAGGUUUAGUUUUAACUACGGCUAAGGAUUAAGAUCAGAGUAAAGAACCUUGAACUGUGGGAGUAAAUCCUCUGGAAGCGGUCCACCAUAGUAACAGAUGAAUUCAAGGACGACAUCAACUGCACCAGGCUCAAGACCUGGCCUUAUAAUUGCCUCAGUUAUUGAGAGCUAUUAUAGUAGCACUAAAUUGCAAAAAAUUUCCUUAAGCUCACUUACAAGAUAUAAAAAUCAUGGAACUUACAACAGUCAUCAAGUACCUGGCUAAGAAUGCUUCUUUAGUCACGUUUAUCUUACAAAAGUUGUAACCUCAGAAAUCCCAUUUAGUCAUCAGCUUCCAAAUCUUUCUUUGUCCAUGAUCUGAAAUAUGCUCUGUUAACUUUCCUGCAACAAGCAAACCAUCUCCUCCCAAGUACACAUGGACAUGCUAAAACGUAUACUUUCACGCACGGACGCACCAGACUAUCCACAUUUUUCCAUUCUUUAAAAAAGACUACCAAUAACUCCAAUAGACAUGUUUCUUAGAAAAUAAAAAAAAACUACACUUCACCUCCAAUACAAAUGUGAUUGUUACAUUAGUCAUACGAAUAAUAUUAUAGCACCAACAAACCAUUUUAAUUGAAAACUAGAAUUAGAAUUAUAAAAUAACUAAGACGAGGUAGCAACUGCUAGAGUCCAAGCCUACGGAUUAGCACUUCAAGAGCUCCCUGACCCGUAAUGAGCACAAAAAGCAGUAUACAUGGAAAUAAGAGCAUUUCUAAUUUAUAUUCCACUUUGUGUUUGAAAAUUUUCUGUAAUUCCACUUUAUAACUCUAUAAUAAAGUUAAAAAUAGAAUUACACUACUUUUGUAUUCGUUAUUAUACUUUGUAAAGUAUGAAAGUAAAACUCAGGUUAUCAAUAAA
This is a long non-coding RNA of Brassica napus (rape), 3077 nucleotides long. RefSeq lists it as uncharacterized. The transcript has 3 exons. The record is from RefSeq and is a predicted model, not a curated record. Lineage: Eukaryota; Viridiplantae; Streptophyta; Magnoliopsida; Brassicales; Brassicaceae.